RNAcentral lists this ribosomal RNA (465 nucleotides) under Nitrosomonas sp. HKU15. RNAcentral describes it as "bacterial SSU rRNA". It matches the Rfam family "Bacterial small subunit ribosomal RNA", at positions 198 to 644 of the family's 1533-position model. Lineage: Bacteria; Pseudomonadati; Pseudomonadota; Betaproteobacteria; Nitrosomonadales; Nitrosomonadaceae. The record is from RNAcentral.
GGAGGAAAGCAGGGGAUCGCAAGACCUUGCGCUAAAGGAGCGGCUGAUGUCUGAUUAGCUAGUUGGUGAGGUAAAGGCUCACCAAGGCAACGAUCAGUAGUUGGUCUGAGAGGACGGCCAACCACACUGGGACUGAGACACGGCCCAGACUCCUACGGGAGGCAGCAGUGGGGAAUUUUGGACAAUGGGCGAAAGCCUGAUCCAGCCAUGCCGCGUGAGUGAAGAAGGCCUUCGGGUUGUAAAGCUCUUUUAGUCGGAAAGAAAAGAUCAUAAUGAACAAUUAUGAUUCAUGACGGUACCGACAGAAAAAGCACCGGCUAACUACGUGCCAGCAGCCGCGGUAAUACGUAGGGUGCGAGCGUUAAUCGGAAUUACUGGGCGUAAAGGGUGCGCAGGCGGUCUUGCAAGUCAGAUGUGAAAUCCCCGGGCUUAACCUGGGAAUUGCGUUUGAAACUACAAGGCUAG